GACGAACGCUGGCGGCGUGCUUAACACAUGCAAGUCGAACGGUAAGGCCCUUCGGGGUACACGAGUGGCGAACGGGUGAGUAACACGUGGGUGAUCUGCCCUACACUUCGGGAUAAGCCUGGGAAACUGGGUCUAAUACCGGAUAGGACCACUGCCUGCAUGGGUGGUGGUGGAAAGCUUUUGCGGUGUGGGAUGGGCCCGCGGCCUAUCAGCUUGUUGGUGGGGUGAUGGCCUACCAAGGCGACGACGGGUAGCCGGCCUGAGAGGGUGACCGGCCACACUGGGACUGAGAUACGGGCCAGACUCCUACGGGAGGCAGCAGUGGGGAAUAUUGCACAAUGGGCGCAAGCCUGAUGCAGCGACGCCGCGUGAGGGAUGACGGCCUUCGGGUUGUAAACCUCUUUCAGCACCGACGAAGCGCAAGUGACGGUAGGUGCAGAAGAAGGACCGGCCAACUACGUGCCAGCCGCCGCAGUAA
This 478-nucleotide ribosomal RNA is filed under the name uncultured bacterium. Its description in RNAcentral is "partial 16S ribosomal RNA". It matches the Rfam family "Bacterial small subunit ribosomal RNA", at positions 28 to 523 of the family's 1533-position model. The record is from RNAcentral.